Molecule: long non-coding RNA, 341 nt
Filed under: Mustela putorius furo (domestic ferret)
Lineage: Eukaryota; Metazoa; Chordata; Mammalia; Carnivora; Mustelidae
Description: lncRNA (ENSMPUG00000029162.1)
Source: RNAcentral
CUCCUCUCAGAGGGCCUCUGCUGUCUUCUCUCAAUAGGGUUGUGUCCUCUCACGCCAAUUGUACUGGCCCCUUACAGACUGGUUCUGUUGGUUCAGCUCAGAAUGACUGUCUCUGUUUCUAUCAGAGGGACUGCGUCCAUUUCUUUGAGAGGGACUACAGUGAGAUCUCUCUGAGGAAUUGCGACCACUCCUCUCAGAGGGACUACAGUGAGUUCUCUCUGAGGAACUGCGACCACUCCUCUCAGAGGGCCUGUACUGUCUUCUCUCAAAAGGGCUGUGUCCUCUCACACCAACUGUACUGGCCCCUUUCAGACUGGUUGUGUUGGUUCUACUCAGAAUGA